GACAGGAAGAUGAAGUAACGAGGGCCUAAGAGCAGUGUGCAUGGGAACAUGAUGGAAGGCUAAAGCUCUCGUUUCUCGUCUAACACUAGAGGAUGCUUUGGUCUGAGUUUUCCUGAUGCCUCCCAUGCCUAUUGUUCUUUGGUGCUCCUUCCUCUUCCUUUUGGAU
Molecule: non-coding RNA, 166 nt
Organism: Triticum aestivum (bread wheat)
Lineage: Eukaryota; Viridiplantae; Streptophyta; Magnoliopsida; Poales; Poaceae
Source: Rfam